Molecule: transfer RNA, 74 nt
Filed under: Caudoviricetes sp.
Lineage: Duplodnaviria; Heunggongvirae; Uroviricota; Caudoviricetes
Also listed under: 1 other name
Description: tRNA-Met
Rfam family: tRNA
About the family: Transfer RNA (tRNA) molecules are approximately 80 nucleotides in length.
Source: RNAcentral
CGCGGAAUGGAGAAGAUGGUAUCUCGCUUGGCCCAUAACCAAGAGAACGCAUGGUUCGAGUCCUGCUUCCGCAA